AACGAACGCUGGCGGCAUGCCUAACACAUGCAAGUCGAACGAGACCUUCGGGUCUAGUGGCGCACGGGUGCGUAACGCGUGGGAACCUGCCCUUAGGUUCGGAAUAACUCCCCGAAAGGGGUGUUAAUACCGGAUAAUGUCUUCGGACCAAAGAUUUAUCGCCUUUGGAUGGGCCCGCGUUGGUUUAGCUAGUUGGUAGGGUAAAAGCCUACCAAGGCGAGGUUCCAUAGCUGGUCUGAGAGGAUGCUCAACCACACUGGGGCUGAGGCACGGCCCAGACUGCUACGGGAGGGAGCAGUGGGGAAUAUUGGGCAAUGGGCGAAAGCCUGAUCCAGCAAUGCCGCGGAAGUGAUGAAGGCCUUAGGGUUGUAAAGCUCUUUUACCCGAGAUGAUAAUGACGGUACCGGGAGAAGAAGCACCGGCUAACUCCGUG
Molecule: ribosomal RNA, 433 nt
Filed under: uncultured bacterium
Lineage: Bacteria
Description: partial 16S ribosomal RNA
Rfam family: Bacterial small subunit ribosomal RNA
Source: RNAcentral